AAGCAAGGAUAAAAACACAGUCCCGGUUGGUAGUCCGGGCGCAGCGAAGCUGUCAGUAACCUGCCUCCUUUGGUUGUCCCUUCCUUGUUUGAUU
RNAcentral lists this non-coding RNA (94 nucleotides) under pig gut metagenome. Its description in RNAcentral is "yjdF RNA". It matches the Rfam family "azaaromatic riboswitch aptamer (yjdF RNA)". The record is from RNAcentral.